This 496-nucleotide ribosomal RNA is filed under the name uncultured bacterium. RNAcentral describes it as "partial 16S ribosomal RNA". It matches the Rfam family "Bacterial small subunit ribosomal RNA", at positions 28 to 506 of the family's 1533-position model. The record is from RNAcentral.
GAUGAACGCUGGCGGCGUGCCUAAUACAUGCAAGUCGAGCGAACAGACGAGGAGCUUGCUCCUCUGACGUUAGCGGCGGACGGGUGAGUAACACGUGGAUAACCUACCUAUAAGACUGGGAUAACUUCGGGAAACCGGAGCUAAUACCGGAUAAUAUAUUGAACCGCAUGGUUCAAUAGUGAAAGACGGUUUUGCUGUCACUUAUAGAUGGAUCCGCGCCGCAUUAGCUAGUUGGUAAGGUAACGGCUUACCAAGGCAACGAUGCGUAGCCGACCUGAGAGGGUGAUCGGCCACACUGGACCUGAGACACGGCCCAGACUCCUACGGGAGGCAGCAGUAGGGAAUCUUCCGCAAUGGGCGAAAGCCUGACGGAGCAACGCCGCGUGAGUGAUGAAGGUCUUCGGAUCGUAAAACUCUGUUAUUAGGGAAGAACAAAUGUGUAAGUAACUAUGCACGUCUUGACGGUACCUAAGCAGAAAGCCACGGCUAACUACGU